This 791-nucleotide ribosomal RNA is filed under the name Bacillus sp. (in: firmicutes). RNAcentral describes it as "bacterial SSU rRNA". It matches the Rfam family "Bacterial small subunit ribosomal RNA", at positions 1 to 779 of the family's 1533-position model. Lineage: Bacteria; Bacillati; Bacillota; Bacilli; Caryophanales; Bacillaceae. The record is from RNAcentral.
AGAGUUUGUAUUAGUGGGUCAGGAUGUCAGAUGGAGGCGUGCCUGCUGCCUGCACAUCGACAGAUCGAAUUAGAACAUGAAUUAUCUGACGUUAUCGGCGGAGAGUUGAGUACCACGGAGUCAUCUUUCGGGUACGACUGGGAUAAGUUCGAGAACUCGAAGCUACUACAGCUUAGGAUGCUCUCCUUCACAAGAGCUGAGAGAAAGACGGUUUGGCCUAUCACCUUCAGAUGGGCCCACGGUGCAUUAGCUAGUUGGUGAGGUAACGGCUCACCAAGGCAACGAUGCAUAGCCGGUCUGAGAGGAUGAUCGGCCACACUGGGACUGAGACACGGUCCAGACUCCUACGGGAGGCAGCAGUAGGGAAUAUUGCGCAAUGGACGCAAGUCUGAUGCAGCCACGCCGCGUGAGUGAAGAAGGCCUUCGGGUUGUAAAAUUCUGUUGUUAGGGAAGAACAAGUUCAAGAGUAUACCUUUGUACCUUGACGGUACCUACCCAGAAAGCCACGGCUAACUACGUGCCAGCAGCCGCGGUAAUACGUAGGUGGCAAGCGUUAUUCGGAAUUAUUGGGCGUAAAGCGCGCGCAGGCGGUUUGUUAAGUCAGAUGUGAAAGCCCACGGCUCAACCGUGGAGGGUCAUCGGAAACUGGGGAACUUGAGUGCAGAAGAGAAAAGCGGAUUUCCCACGGGAAGCGGGAAAUUGCGUAGAGUUGGGGAGGAACCCCAGUGGGGAGGGCGGCCCUUUGGUCGAGUGACUGACGCUCAGCUGCGAAGCGUGGAGCAGUCAUGAUU